Molecule: ribosomal RNA, 100 nt
Filed under: Colobus angolensis palliatus
Lineage: Eukaryota; Metazoa; Chordata; Mammalia; Primates; Cercopithecidae
Source: RNAcentral
GUCUAUAGCCAUACCACCCUGAUCUCGUGAAGCUAAGCAAGGUGGGGCCUGGUUAGUACUUGGAUGGGAGACUGCCUGGGAAUAUAAGCUGCUGUUGGCU